CCGUGUCAAGGAGGUGGACGAGCACGUCCGUCGCUACAUGGAGGCGUUGGAUGCCAGGUUCUCCAGUACCUGACAGGUUCUUCAGGGAUCUCACCCGAGCUAUGAUCCGGUGAUGGUCCCUGCUUUUGGGUGUCCACCGCCCACGCCUCAGUAUAGCGACGACUCUUUGUUGGUUGAUCAAUUAUAUAUUAUUCGAUGUAUUACUGUAUGCGAGAGAUGUAUUAUUUAUGUAUUCCAGAUUAUAUAUUCGAUAAUAUUAAGUGGAUUAUUC
This 271-nucleotide long non-coding RNA is filed under the name Hordeum vulgare. Its description in RNAcentral is "long non-coding RNA (HVUL_LNC010607)". Lineage: Eukaryota; Viridiplantae; Streptophyta; Magnoliopsida; Poales; Poaceae. The record is from RNAcentral.